Molecule: ribosomal RNA, 478 nt
Filed under: uncultured bacterium
Lineage: Bacteria
Description: partial 16S ribosomal RNA
Rfam family: Bacterial small subunit ribosomal RNA
Source: RNAcentral
GACGAACGCUGGCGGCGUGCUUAACACAUGCAAGUCGAACGGUAAGGCCCUUCGGGGUACACGAGUGGCGAACGGGUGAGUAACACGUGGGUGAUCUGCCCUGCACUUCGGGAUAAGCCUGGGAAACUGGGUCUAAUACCGGAUAGGACCACUGCCUGCAUGGGUGGUGGUGGAAAGCUUUUGCGGUGUGGGAUGGGCCCGCGGCCUAUCAGCUUGUUGGUGGGGUGAUGGCCUACCAAGGCGACGACGGGUAGCCGGCCUGAGAGGGUGACCGCCACCAGUGGGACUGAGAUACGGCCCAGACUCCGAGGGGAGGCAGCAGUGGGGAUAAUUGCAAAAGGGGGGCAAGCCGGAUGCAGCGCCGCCGCGGGGGGGAUGACGGCCUUCGGGUUGUAAACCUCUUUCAGCACCGACGAAGCGCAAGGGACGGGAGGUGCAAAAGAAGGACCGGCAAACUACGUGCCAGCCGCCGCGGUAA